Molecule: ribosomal RNA, 375 nt
Filed under: uncultured bacterium
Lineage: Bacteria
Description: bacterial SSU rRNA
Rfam family: Bacterial small subunit ribosomal RNA
Source: RNAcentral
UCCCGCGUGGGGGCAAACCUGACUAGCCAUGCCGCGUGAGUGAUGAAGGCCUUAGGGUUGUAAAGCUCUUUCGUGGGGGAAGAUAAUGACUGUCCCCCCAGAACAAGCCCCGGCUAACUCCGUGCCAUCAGCCCCGGUAAUACGGAGGGGGCCAGCCUUGUUCGGAAUUACUGGGCGUAAAGCGCACGUAAGCGGAGGGAGAAAUCCGAGGUGAAAUCCCAAGGCUCAACCUUGGAACUGCCUUUGAAACUUUCUGUCUUGAGGUCCAGAGAGGUGAGUGGAAUUCCUAGUGUAGAGGUGAAAUUCAUUCAUCUUCUGAGGAACACCUGUGGCGAAGGCUGCUCAAUGGCUCGAUACUGACGCUGAGGUGCGAAA